GUGUCAGCAGCCGCGGUAAGACAGAGGUUGCAAACGUUGUUCGGAAUCACUGGGCAUAAAGCGCACGUAGGCGGCUAAUUAAGUUAGGUGUGAAAUCCCCCGGCUCAACCGGGGAACUGCGCCUGAUACUGAUUGGCUUGAGAACGGUAGGGGUGAGCGGAACUCCAGGUGGAGCGGUGAAAUGCGUAGAUAUCUGGAGGAACACCGGUGGCGAAAGCGGCUCACUGGACCGUAACUGACGCUGAUGUGCGAAAGCUAGGGUAGCAAACGGGAUUAGAAACCCUCGUAGUCC
Molecule: ribosomal RNA, 292 nt
Filed under: uncultured bacterium
Lineage: Bacteria
Description: partial 16S ribosomal RNA
Rfam family: Bacterial small subunit ribosomal RNA
Source: RNAcentral